CUAUGCGCCUUGCCAGCCCGCUCAGGUGUGCCAGCCGCCGCGGUAAUACGUAGGUGGCAAGCGUUAUCCGGAAUUAUUGGGCGUAAAGAGCGCGCAGGUGGUUAAUUAAGUCUGAUGUGAAAGCCCACGGCUUAACCGUGGAGGGUCAUUGGAAACUGGUUGACUUGAGUGCAGAAGAGGGAAGUGGAAUUCCAUGUGUAGCGGUGAAAUGCGUAGAGAUAUGGAGGAACACCAGUGGCGAAGGCGGCUUCCUGGUCUGCAACUGACACUGAGGCGCGAAAGCGUGGGGAGCAAACAGG
This 299-nucleotide ribosomal RNA is filed under the name uncultured bacterium. RNAcentral's name for it is "partial 16S ribosomal RNA". It matches the Rfam family "Bacterial small subunit ribosomal RNA", at positions 475 to 776 of the family's 1533-position model. The record is from RNAcentral.